Macrobrachium nipponense is the source of this 1271-nucleotide long non-coding RNA. RefSeq lists it as uncharacterized. Lineage: Eukaryota; Metazoa; Arthropoda; Malacostraca; Decapoda; Palaemonidae. The transcript has 2 exons. The record is from RefSeq and is a predicted model, not a curated record.
CGGUGGAAGUUGGAGGAGAGGCACGCGCAUACAGUACGGUGGAAGGGAAAGGAGCAGUUGUGGGUUAAAUUCAAUUGUGGUUCUGCAGCAUCUUUUUUGAGAAGACGUCUCUUGCACGAGCACCAUCUCCGUGUCUUCGUCUCCGAUGAUGGAGGAACCGACGACUUUGUUUGUGCUGGUGAUAUCGUUGCUUCUUGGGGUAACGGAUCGAGGCGGAAUAUCCGUAGUCACUGGCUCUACGAUCAUCAAAGGACAUAAUGUCCUAACCACUUUAGUGCAGGGAGAUCGAAGUUUAUCGGCGCCUUCCUUCGAUCGACGAUCUUUCAUCUCUGGUAACCCUUACUUCGGUCAAGAAACCUCGAGAAAUAUCCGAGGCAUCCAGAAGGUUCCUCUCCAAUCUUACAUGUCCACGGGUCAGGUUCCUGAUAGAGGGUACUCCUUCGGCAGACGCAACCCGCAAGGAACCGCCUUUUCGCAACCAGCCGCCCUCGCAUCUUCUUCUUCUUCUUCUUCUUGCGGUGACGGGCAAGUCCUCCGAGCAGACAGGCAGUGCGUGACGCCCAGAAUCACACGGAAUAUAUAUUUCUUCAACGCCCCCACCCGGAGGAAUGCUGUGACGCGUCCCAUUCCAAAUCUCCCCCUGCCGAAGGUCAUCGAAAACAUCCUGUUGGUGAAGCUCCCACCUAAGAGUAGAGAAUCCGUAGUAGUGCCUCUCAAAGAACAGAAACAUUACGUCUUCUUCUUGAACAGAGCCGCUGAUGCGGGGAGAGACAAAGCUGUCAGCGCUCGUCCGCAGCUACCUACCGUGAAACCCGAGGUGUACUUCGUCAGGUACAACAGUCAAGAGCAGGAUCCCGGUGGUUUAGGGGGUCGUGGCGGGGCGAACCUCAACGACGUGCAACAAUCGGGUGGUUAUGUCAAUUCUCGCGAUUUGUUUACAACGAAUGGACAGAACAGUGAACCCUUUUUCAUCACCGGUGGGGGUGGGGGUCUGCAAGGCAUAAACAACAACAUUGGUUAUAAAUAACAACAAAGAAAGUAUAAAUAAAAGGAAGUCUGAUGUAGACUUCUUAUCAGUUGAAAUAUCUUUUUUUAUUGUGUAUGAAUGUUUUAUUUCUUUUCCUUUUUAGCGAGUCUUUUGUUGACUGAAUGUUUCUUUAGAGUUCUUGUUUUCCUUGUAGAAAGACUAUACUGCAUGUUCGUUAGAUUUAUGAUAUUGUUAAAAACCUGUUAAAUAGAAUAGUUAAUCUAAUUAUAAUAUUUAUGUCGAA